Molecule: long non-coding RNA, 423 nt
Filed under: Heterocephalus glaber (naked mole-rat)
Lineage: Eukaryota; Metazoa; Chordata; Mammalia; Rodentia; Bathyergidae
Description: lncRNA (ENSHGLG00100050075.1)
Source: RNAcentral
GGGAAGGAGAAUGGAAAAUAGAAGCAAGCUGAUCCCUUGGUUGCUUCCUGUAAGAGAUUAAAGAGGAGGGAAAGAAAACAAGAGAAGAUGAGAGGACCCAGACAACCUCAGUGAAACAGAAUGGUGACAUAAGAGAGGAGAAAAAGUAUUGGUUUUCAUUUCAAGACAGGUAUGUACUGUUAUUACCAUCAUUUUAUGAUAAGAAGACUGAAUCUCAGAGAUCACUCUGAGGCCAAACAGUCCAGCUUCACAUUAUAAGUGAAAGUUCAUUAUGACCUAAUCCUGACCUAUCAGAGAACAAAACCACAAGAGAAUGAAUUUAUACCAUCUCUUGGCAAAAAUGGGAUCAAGGAUGAUAAGGCAAGAAGGCCCUUGCUUAUGCUGACACUGUGAACUUGGACUUUGAAGACUCCAGAACUGAGG